CCAUACUAAACCUCUGAAAUGGUUCAUUUCUAUUCUCAGCACAGCUCAGCUCCUGAGGUUAAGGGACUCAGAUGCGUGUUGGCGGUGGUUGUUGGCUGACGGCUGCUUCGGACUUCCAAGGGCUGCCUGCAUUUCUCAGGUCUAACUGUACAGAACCCUGGGUUCCAAUCCCAGCACAGUGUAAACCCAUGCAGCAGCACAUUCCUCUAAUCCCUGUGUCCCUGUGGGUCAGAAGUUCAAGGACAUCUUUUGCUACAGAACAAAUCUGAGGCCAGCCUGGGCUACAUUUUGUUUCCAUGUAGUAAGUGUAUAUCCAUUUGUGACUGGGCAGUGGAGAAUCUAAGCAGCUGUGGGACAGAGCUGUCAAGCAAAGAAAAGAAGAACAAGCAGAGAACAAGGCCAUGUCACUCCCGCCGUUGUGGGAAAUAUCUGCAUGCAGACCUUAGUGGCUGCCAGACGAAAUUAAAAAUGGGUCCAUGAAACUAGGGGGAUUGAGAAUGACAUAAAGAAUGCUUCAGAGGCUCCCAGAUUUUAAGUGCUUUUCCACUUAAUCGUCUUUGGUUGCCAGAAGCCUGAAUUGAAGAGAACCCACUCUCUAUGCAUAGAAAAUGUUACCCUGGGAGAGAAGAAUGUCAGUGACCACCUGAGGAUGCUGAUGCGUUAGUCUGUUGAGCAAUGGCUUACUUUCUGAAGUCUCCACAUCACUCACCUACAGAAUGAAGUCCCUCUACCUUGAUACUGGCAGCUUCUUCUCCUAAAUGAAAUCCCUGCCUGAGAAGCAGAAGGAGUUGGAGAGUCACGCCACCGAAGAGUUUGUGAGUGUAACUUGGAGAGAUCGAUGGCCCUGUCAGUGACAUGGGAGAUGCCAGCCAAUUAGACUCGUUGGGGGAAUAUUCUUGGGAUCUCUCUGGUAAGCACAGGAAAGAAGAUUCUCCAUGAAUGUAUGUCAAAAGGUAAAAAUAAGUGGAGCAGAAGUUGCAGAUGCCAGCCUAUCAUAUCUCCUGUUUGAGGCAAACGCAGGAGCAAAGCAGUGGGAGGUACCUGGAUAGGCUUGUCAGGCACUGUGUUAGUGCACACUGAAUAGUGUUUUAUGAUGGCUCAGAAACCUCUGUGUUCCUAACAGAAUUCAAUAUAACCAAACAUGUGUGUGUGUGUGUGUUGCCAGAGGACAACUGCAAGUGUUUUUCCUCAGACAACAUCCAUCCUUUAUUGAGACAGGGUCUCUGAUUAGCCUCAAACUAUCCAAGUUGGACACCUAUUGGGCCUUACUUAUCUCUCUCAUUCUAUGUCCUCAGUUCUGGGAUUACAAGGAUAUAAUUGACACUAUCCAAGAGUAAUGAAUUUCAGUGCUUAUACUCAAAUAAGAUAGAAUAUAUCUGGUGUCCCUCCUAAAAGAAUGUUUUAUUUAAAGCAAAUGACAAGGCCAGCAGU
RNAcentral lists this small RNA (1431 nucleotides) under Rattus norvegicus (Norway rat). RNAcentral describes it as "uncharacterized LOC102553940". Lineage: Eukaryota; Metazoa; Chordata; Mammalia; Rodentia; Muridae. The record is from RNAcentral.